Molecule: ribosomal RNA, 1326 nt
Filed under: Triticum aestivum (bread wheat)
Lineage: Eukaryota; Viridiplantae; Streptophyta; Magnoliopsida; Poales; Poaceae
Description: partial small subunit ribosomal RNA
Source: RNAcentral
AUGCACGGCAUCAAACAAAUAUCUCCGGCCUUCCCUCGUUUGUUAUCUCGGUCUCUCCUCGUGAGUCGUAACCGACCGACAGAGGGAGCGCCGGCAGGCGAGAUGUCCACGCAGGAAACGAAGGGCGCGCAGUGCAAGGGGGCCGCCAGGGCGACGGUGCGGCCGUGCCCGUCGUUCUCCGCGCUCCCCGACGUUCUCCUUCUCAUCGUCUACCGGUUUCUGGCCGAGUCCCCGAGCAGUCGCAUGCGCUUCUCCACCGUCUGCAGGUCCUGGCGCGCCGCCGUCGCCGCGGAGCAGCGGGUACCCGCACUGCCUUGGUUGCUGCUCUCGCCGCGCGACGCUGGAGACAGGACGUGGCGCGCGCACUGCCCUGAGGACGGCGCCGCGAUGCGCUUCCAGCACUGCAGGGACAUUGGGACGUCCCUCGUCGGUGGUUACGACGGCGGCUGGGUCGUCUUCUCCCAGCAGCCGCCUCUCAGGAUCGUCAACCUCUUCACCGGUGCCGAGGUGGCGCUCUCUGAGAAACAGAAGAGGAUCACCUGCCUGUUCCAUGGGCGUGGUGACGCCUACGGCCCGGUCGUCUUGAAAAUCGUCUUCUCCAAGUCGCCUACCUCGGACGGCUGCAUCAUGGCCGCCAUGACCCGUAACUGCGGAAUCGCGGUUUGUAGGGUUGAUUGCCCACGUGGUGGGUGGACCAUAUAUGGAUGUCAUAUGUCGGGAUUCAUGGACAUUGCCUUUUGUAAUGGUGAGCUCUAUGGCAUUCGACCGGGUUACAAUGAUCUCGUCAAAUUUGAGAUCCGUGUGAAGAAGGAUGUUGCUCCAGUGGUCACGGAAAAGUACCGGCUAAACAUGCUUAGGGUAGACCGUCCAUCAGCAUGGAGCACUUGCGAUGAGUACACAUGUUACAUCGUGGAUCUGCAUGGAAAGUGUACGAUUGUGGUCAUUAACCGGCGGUGCUUUUCCCCCAGGCCUUUCUUUAGGAUGUUCCGGCUCAACCCUACCACUUGGUCUGAGGUGACCAGCUUGGGCGACCAUGCCUUAUUCUUGGGACAGAAAUUUUCCAAGGUGGUGCACAUGCCAGCAGAUAGGCUUGGCGACAUAGAGAGAAAUCACAUCUACUACUGCAACCACCGCCACCUACAUCUAUGCAAUACAGUCAAUGGUGAUGAGGUAUUCUUGACGAUCUCACAAAGCGACGGCGACCUUAAGUAUCACAAAGAACACUACAACAAGAGAAUUGCCGACAAUUUCAACAUCAGGUCGGUAGGUUACUUCAUGGAAGAUCAUCGAUAUGAUAGCAUGUGGCUUCUUCCUCCUGAUAUCUAG